GUUUAGGUCUAUCCCAAUGGGAGUUCUUCUGUAGGCCCACAUCAUUGGAAAUGCAGCACAGUAAAUAUGUGGUUUGCUUAACUCACAGAACUAUUUGUUAGAUAUGUGGGAAAGAACUACAAAACAAGA
Molecule: small nucleolar RNA, 129 nt
Organism: Myotis lucifugus (little brown bat)
Lineage: Eukaryota; Metazoa; Chordata; Mammalia; Chiroptera; Vespertilionidae
Source: Ensembl